CUUAAAUUGAAGAGUUUGAUCAUGGCUCAGAUUGAACGCUGGCGGCAGGCCUAACACAUGCAAGUCGAGCGGAAACGAGUUAUCAGAACCUUCGGG
Molecule: ribosomal RNA, 96 nt
Filed under: Vibrio parahaemolyticus
Lineage: Bacteria; Pseudomonadati; Pseudomonadota; Gammaproteobacteria; Vibrionales; Vibrionaceae
Description: partial 16S ribosomal RNA
Rfam family: Bacterial small subunit ribosomal RNA
Source: RNAcentral